This 301-nucleotide ribosomal RNA is filed under the name uncultured bacterium. RNAcentral describes it as "partial 16S ribosomal RNA". It matches the Rfam family "Bacterial small subunit ribosomal RNA", at positions 509 to 809 of the family's 1533-position model. The record is from RNAcentral.
CAGUCGCCGCGGGAAUACGUAGGUGGCAAGCGUUAUCCGGAAUUAUUGGGCGUAAAGCGCGCGUAGGCGGUUUUUUAAGUCUGAUGUGAAAGCCCACGGCUCAACCGUGGAGGGUCAUUGGAAACUGGAAAACUUGAGUGCAGAAGAGGAAAGUGGAAUUCCAUGUGUAGCGGUGAAAUGCGCAGAGAUAUGGAGGAACACCAGUGGCGAAGGCGACUUUCUGGUCUGUAACUGACGCUGAUGUGCGAAAGCGUGGGGAUCAAACAGGAUUAGAUACCCCUGUAGUCCCUGUCUCUUAUAA